This 492-nucleotide ribosomal RNA is filed under the name uncultured bacterium. RNAcentral describes it as "partial 16S ribosomal RNA". It matches the Rfam family "Bacterial small subunit ribosomal RNA", at positions 29 to 507 of the family's 1533-position model. The record is from RNAcentral.
AGUGAGCGCUGGCGGUAGGCCUAACACAUGCAAGUCGAACGGCAGCACAGUAAGAGCUUGCUCUUACGGGUGGCGAGUGGCGGACGGGUGAGGAAUACAUCGGAAUCUACUUUUUCGUGGGGGAUAACGUAGGGAAACUUACGCUAAUACCGCAUACGACCUACGGGUGAAAGCAGGGGAUCUUCGGACCUUGCGCGAUUGGAUGAGCCGAUGUCGGAUUAGCUAGUUGGCGGGGUAAAGGCCCACCAAGGCGACGAUCCGUAGCUGGUCUGAGAGGAUGAUCAGCCACACUGGAACUGAGACACGGUCCAGACUCCUACGGGAGGCAGCAGUGGGGAAUAUUGGACAAUGGGCGCAAGCCUGAUCCAGCCAUACCGCGUGGGUGAAGAAGGCCUUCGGGUUGUAAAGCCCUUUUGUUGGGAAAGAAAAGCAGCAGGUUAAUACCCCGCUGUUCUGACGGUACCCAAAGAAUAAGCACCGGCUAACUUCGUG